Molecule: ribosomal RNA, 270 nt
Filed under: uncultured Lachnospiraceae bacterium
Lineage: Bacteria; Bacillati; Bacillota; Clostridia; Lachnospirales; Lachnospiraceae
Description: partial 16S ribosomal RNA
Rfam family: Bacterial small subunit ribosomal RNA
Source: RNAcentral
AUUGGUGCUUGCACUGAUCCGAUCGAGUGGCGGACGGGUGAGUAACGCGUGGGUAACCUGCCUCAUACAGGGGAAUAACAGUUGGAAACGGCUGCUAAAACCGCAUAAGCGCACGGUAUCGCAUGAUACAGUGUGAAAAACUCCGGUGGUACAAGAUGGACCCGCGUCUGAUUAGCUGGUUGGUGAGGUAACGGCCCACCAAGGCAACGAUCAGUAGCCGGCCUGAGAGGGUGAACGGCCACACUGGAACUGAGACACGGUCCAGACUCC